Molecule: ribosomal RNA, 567 nt
Filed under: uncultured bacterium
Lineage: Bacteria
Description: bacterial SSU rRNA
Rfam family: Bacterial small subunit ribosomal RNA
Source: RNAcentral
CCUACGGGAGGCAGCAGUAGGGAAUCUCGCGCAAUGGGCGAAAGCCUGACGCAGCAACGCCGCGUGGGGGAUGAAGGCCUUCGGGUUGUAAACUCCUUUCAGUGGGAACGAAACUGACGGUACCCACAGAAGAAGCCCCGGCCAACUACGUGCCAGCAGCCGCGGUGAUACGUAGGGGGCGAGCGUUGUCCGGAUUUAUUGGGCGUAAAGAGCUCGUAGGCGGUUUGGUUAGUCGGGUGUGAAACCUCCAGGCUUAACCUGGAGACGCCACUCGAUACUGCCAUGACUAGAGUCCGGUAGGGGACCAUGGAAUUCCUGGUGUAGCGGUGAAAUGCGCAGAUAUCAGGAGGAACACCAGUAGCGAAGGCGGUGGUCUGGGCCGGUACUGACCUUAGGAGCGAAAGCGUUGGGAGCGAACAGGAUUUAGAUACCCUGGUAGUCCACGCCGUAAACGUUGGGCACUAAGUGUUGGGCUCUAUCAACGAGCUCCCGUGCCGCAGCUAACGCAUUAAAUUGCCCGGCCUGGGGAAUACGGCCGCAAGGGUUAAACUCAAAGGAAUUUGACGG